CAGUCGCCACGGGAAUACGAAGGGGGCUAGCGUUGUUCGGAUUUACUGGGCGUAAAGGGCGCGUAGGCGGACUGAUAAGUCAGGGGUGAAAUCCCAAGGCUCAACCUUGGAACUGCCUUUGAUACUGUUUGUCUUGAGUUCGAGAGAGGUAAGUGGAACUGCGAGUGUAGAGGUGAAAUUCGUAGAUAUUCGCAAGAACACCAGUGGCGGAGGCGGCUUACUGGCUCGUAACUGACGCUGAGGCGCGAAAGCGUGGGGAGCAAACAGGAUUAGAUACCCCCGUAGUCCCUGUCUCUUAUAC
This 301-nucleotide ribosomal RNA is filed under the name uncultured bacterium. Its description in RNAcentral is "partial 16S ribosomal RNA". It matches the Rfam family "Bacterial small subunit ribosomal RNA", at positions 509 to 807 of the family's 1533-position model. The record is from RNAcentral.